UACGGGGGGGGCAAGCGUUGUUCGGAAUUACUGGGCGUAAAGGGCUCGUAGGCGGCCAUCUAAGUCAGACGUGAAAUCCCUCGGCUUAACCGGGGAACUGCGUCUGAUACUGGAUGGGUUGAGUUUGGGAGAGGGAUGCGGAAUUCCAGGUGUAGCGGUGAAAUGCGUAGAUAUCUGGAGGAACACCGGUGGCGAAGGCGGCAUCCUGGACCAACACUGACGCUGAGGAGCGAAAGCCAGGGGAGCAAACGGG
This 253-nucleotide ribosomal RNA is filed under the name uncultured bacterium. RNAcentral's name for it is "partial 16S ribosomal RNA". It matches the Rfam family "Bacterial small subunit ribosomal RNA", at positions 524 to 776 of the family's 1533-position model. The record is from RNAcentral.